UUUUUAGAUAGUUUAAUUAAAACACUAGGUUGCAAACCUAGAGAAAUUUCUAAGUA
RNAcentral lists this transfer RNA (56 nucleotides) under Tityus serrulatus (Brazilian scorpion). Its description in RNAcentral is "tRNA-Cys". Lineage: Eukaryota; Metazoa; Arthropoda; Arachnida; Scorpiones; Buthidae. The record is from RNAcentral.